AUGGAGGUGGUGAAUGCGUUGAGCCAAGACUACUCUUCUUCAGUCGCUUCAUCCAUUAUAGAUGACUGUUAUUUCAUGUCAUUAGGUUUUUUCCAUGUCAUUUAUGAUCAUUGUAAUAGGGAACGUAAUCGAGUAGCUCAUGAACUAGCAAGGUUAGAUAGGUUUUCUUCUCCGAGUAUUUGGAUGGAUAACGCCCCUGAUGAGGUCAUCCAUUUUCUAUGGGUUGUGGUCCAUUCUUGUCGUAAUUUCUACCCAAUACCAGUUGGAAAUAUUAACACUUUUCCAAUUAGACUAAUCCACGAGUAG
This 306-nucleotide ribosomal RNA is filed under the name Triticum aestivum (bread wheat). Its description in RNAcentral is "partial small subunit ribosomal RNA". Lineage: Eukaryota; Viridiplantae; Streptophyta; Magnoliopsida; Poales; Poaceae. The record is from RNAcentral.